UGCUCCAUAGACCCUUUGUGUUUCCGGUGCGAGUGUAAAGCAUUCAAAGGGAAAUCGAGUCAGCAUAGGCCGUGUUAACGUGUACAUGUGCUAGAGUGGUGAUGAGCUCAUGAAAGGCUACUACCGUUGUCUAUGUUAGCUGGUUAUUGUGAAUGUGGGGAAAAAGAGGCACACUCAUUUUGUUGUGAGAUCAAACUUUAUUGUUCUCAAUGGCUGUAUUUAAGUUGUAAUUUUUCUGUCCAAAUCCCCCAAAUUUGCAUACUUAAUGCUGCGCUGUUCCAAGUGCGUUCUGGAAUAAAAGGCCCCAUUUAAAUUUUUCAUCCUGUGUCCGGUGUCACAAAUUCAUAUCCCGGGCCACAGAGAUUUUGGUACCAGGAGUGGGGUUUCCAUUGCUAAUUUUGGGACAUUUUUGACAGUCAGGUAGAGUAAGAGGAACAUAGACAACGGUAGUGGUGAAAAGAGGUCGAGUAACAGGGCCAAAGAGGUCGACGACGUGAAGUGUGGCGUGCCUCGAAAGCCUGCGGGGAAGCAAG
Molecule: long non-coding RNA, 533 nt
Organism: Sinocyclocheilus anshuiensis
Lineage: Eukaryota; Metazoa; Chordata; Actinopteri; Cypriniformes; Cyprinidae
Exons: 3
Source: RefSeq, a predicted model, not a curated record